This 375-nucleotide ribosomal RNA is filed under the name uncultured organism. Its description in RNAcentral is "partial 16S ribosomal RNA". It matches the Rfam family "Bacterial small subunit ribosomal RNA", at positions 527 to 896 of the family's 1533-position model. The record is from RNAcentral.
GUAGGGUGCGAGCGUUUAAUCGGGAAUUACUGGGGCGUAAAGCGUGCGCAGGCGGUCUGCUAAGACAGAUGUGAAAUCCCCCGGGGCUCAACCUGGGAACUGCAUUUGUGACUGGCAGGCUAGAGUAUGGCAGAGGGGGGUAGAAUUCCACGUGUAGCAGUGAAAUGCGUAGAGAUGUGGAGGAAUACCGAUGGCGAAGGCAGCCCCCCUGGGCCAAUACUGACGCUCAUGCACGAAAGCGUGGGGAGCAAACAGGAUUAGAUACCCUGGUAGUCCACGCCCUAAACGAUGUCAACUAGUUGUUGGGGAUUCAUUUCCUUAGUAACGUAGCUAACGCGUGAAGUUGACCGCCUGGGGAGUACGGUCGCAAGAUUA